UUUGUGCAGAUUCUUGGUGUACGCAUGGUUUUAUACAUCUGAAAACUUUUGUGCAUACGAAAAUCUAGCUUUUGUGCCUACGUAUACUUUUAGGAUGAAAUAUACGGAGAGUUUUAUAAAUGAGACCCCAGGUCUGUUCUCCUAAAAAAUAUUUGGAUCAUCUUUAAGGAGCAUCAUCAUGAUGUUUUGUCUGAACUCUAAAUGCUAGGCUAUGGCAACACACACAUGCUGAAUCUUUUUGAAAACCUCUUGUAGAUAAGUCUUCAAAGUUUAUGGUGUAAAGGCAUUUCUACUUCUUCAGCUUCCGUAUUUUUUUUUUUGUUUCCUUUCCAGCUGUGUUGCAGACAUAAAUCUCGGCUUUUUGCUUCUGAAAGCACACAUUUAGCAAUACAGUGUUGUGUGGAGCUAUAGAGUAAAGGCCAACUUUGUUCCCCCUUUGAGAGUAAAAUGGGGGGUUGACCUGUUGGGGCAGGUACAAGUCUAUUUAUGAGCCCCCAACAUUCUUCAGAGGUCUAAAAUGAAGCUUUACUAGUUUCUCUCGGUUUCCUUAGCCCACCACGGCCCGUCUUGAUCUGCAAAGCAAGCCUAAGGCAAGAGCUGUGACUGUUGCCUGAAAGUCUGCUGAGGAAUAAUCAAUGACAGGCCUGUUUCCUCAAUACCAUGCCUGACACUUUGUCAAAGAGAAUAGCUCAUAUCUCUGAUCCACACAUGUGAUCUACAGUAUAUGCCAAAUGAGAUUUGAUUUCUCAGACAGUUGAACUUGUGGGAGGUACCACUUUAUUUUAAUGCUAGCCGAGUGCUUGAUGGAGCCUGAAUAAUCAGUGUUGUUGUUUUGUUUACUGAACAUAUUGCAUUGUUUUUGGACAGAGAAGAAUUAAGGGUAUUGCAAUGGGUUUGUGUGCCAAGAAAAGCAGAUAGAAGAACCUACAAGUCUCUUUAAAUGUGUGCAACUCUAAUUUUAAACUCAGUUCCAAUGAUUUUUAUUAUUGUCAUAAUUGAAUGUAUGAAGUUGAGUAGAAGUGGAAAUGGAUGUAAUGAAACAGAUCAUUAUAUUUUAUUUAUUUAAUUAUGUAUGCAAUGCAUUUAAAGCAUAUUUUAAACAUCAAUGUUCAAUCUAAUGUUAAGGCAGUUCUGAAGGCUAAAGGGGGUCCAACCCGAUACUAGCAAGGUGUACCUAAUAAUGUGGCCAGUGAGUGUAUAUGGGUGGUAAAAUAUGAUCUAGACUUGUUCUUGGCAGGCUUUCACCCAAUUAGAUGAUAAAUCAUGGCUGGUACAAACUCUCCGUACCCCAAUACCCAGAUACUUGAAGACAAAUGUGUAUCACCCGGCUUAUAGAGAAGUCACAGAUUACCUUGUUUCCUGCCCUAAACUGGAGCUGAAAGGACCCCAGCUGAAGUGCCAAAGUUAUUCUUGAACUGAAUCGUUGAGAAAGGACAAGAACUACACGGCACUUCUCAUUGUACUUGUCUGUCUUUUCUGGUCUAUUUCCAUGUUUCCAUGGACUCCAGUCUGCUGGGGCUUCA
Long non-coding RNA from Cyprinus carpio (common carp), 1523 nucleotides. NCBI's taxonomy places the organism in Eukaryota, Metazoa, Chordata, Actinopteri, Cypriniformes, Cyprinidae. The record is from Ensembl.